ACUCCUACGGGAGGCAGCAGUGGGGAAUAUUGCACAAUGGGCGCAAGCCUGAUGCAGCCAUGCCGCGUGUAUGAAGAAGGCCUUCGGGUUGUAAAGUACUUUCAGUAGGGAGGAAGGUAGUGUAGUUAACACCUGCACUAUUUGACGUUACCUACAGAAGAAGCACCGGCUAACUCCGUGCCAGCAGCCGCGGUAAUACGGAGGGUGCGAGCGUUAAUCGGAAUUACUGGGCGUAAAGCGCAUGCAGGCGGCCUGUUAAGUCAGAUGUGAAAGCCCGGGGCUUAACCUCGGAAUUGCAUUUGAAACUGGCAGGCUAGAGUCUUGUAGAGGGGGGUAGAAUUUCAGGUGUAGCGGUGAAAUGCGUAGAGAUCUGAAGGAAUACCAGUGGCGAAGGCGGCCCCCUGGACAAAGACUGACGCUCAGAUGCGAAAGCGUGGGGAGCAAACAGGAUUAGAUACCCUGGUAGGAUAGCG
Molecule: ribosomal RNA, 473 nt
Filed under: uncultured bacterium
Lineage: Bacteria
Description: bacterial SSU rRNA
Rfam family: Bacterial small subunit ribosomal RNA
Source: RNAcentral